AAGAGACAGCAGCCGCCGCGGUAAUACAGAGGGUGCAAGCGUUAAUCGGAAUUACUGGGCGUAAAGGGCGCGUAGGUGGUUAUGUAAGUGAGUGGUGAAAUCCCCGGGCUUAACCUGGGAAUUGCCACUUAAACUGCAUAGCUUGAGUGCAAUAGAGGGUAGUGGAAUUUCCGGUGUAGCGGUGAAAUGCGUAGAUAUCGGAAGGAACACCAGUGGCGAAGGCGGCUACCUGGAUUGACACUGACACUGAGGCGCGAGAGCGUGGGGAGCAAACAGGAUUAGAUACCCGCGUAGUCCCUGUCUCUUAUAC
RNAcentral lists this ribosomal RNA (310 nucleotides) under uncultured bacterium. RNAcentral describes it as "partial 16S ribosomal RNA". It matches the Rfam family "Bacterial small subunit ribosomal RNA", at positions 503 to 807 of the family's 1533-position model. The record is from RNAcentral.